GAUGAACGCUGGCGGCGUGCCUAAUACAUGCAAGUCGAGCGAACAGACGAGGAGCUUGCUCCUCUGACGUUAGCGGCGGACGGGUGAGUAACACGUGGAUAACCUACCUAUAAGACUGGGAUAACUUCGGGAAACCGGAGCUAAUACCGGAUAAUAUAUUGAACCGCAUGGUUCAAUAGUGAAAGACGGUUUUGCUGUCACUUAUAGAUGGAUCCGCGCCGCAUUAGCUAGUUGGUAAGGUAACGGCUUACCAAGGCAACGAUGCGUAGCCGACCUGAGAGGGUGAUCGGCCAAACUGGAAGUGAGACACGGUCCAGAAUACUACGGGAGGCAGCAGUAGGGAAUCUUCCGCAAUGGGCGAAAGCAUGACGGAGCAACGCCGCGUGAGUGAUGAAGGUCUUCGGAUCGUAAAACUCUGUUAUUAGGGAAGAACAAAUGUGUAAGUAAAUAUGCACGUCUUGACGGUACCUAAUCAGAAAGCCACGGCUAACUACGUG
This 497-nucleotide ribosomal RNA is filed under the name uncultured bacterium. Its description in RNAcentral is "partial 16S ribosomal RNA". It matches the Rfam family "Bacterial small subunit ribosomal RNA", at positions 28 to 507 of the family's 1533-position model. The record is from RNAcentral.